RNAcentral lists this ribosomal RNA (756 nucleotides) under uncultured bacterium. RNAcentral's name for it is "bacterial SSU rRNA". It matches the Rfam family "Bacterial small subunit ribosomal RNA", at positions 8 to 796 of the family's 1533-position model. The record is from RNAcentral.
AGAGUUUGAUCAUGGCUCAGAAUCAACGCUGGCGGCGCGCUUAACACAUGCAAGUCGCACGAGAAAGUGGAGCAAUCCAUGAGUACAGUGGCGUACGGGUGAGUAACACGUGGAUUAUCUACCUUUUAGUGGGGAAUACCUCCGGGAAACUGGAGACAAUACCGCAUAAGCUCGAAAGAGGAAAGCAGCAAUGCGCUGAAAGAGGAGUCCGCGGUCGAUUAGCUUGAUGGCGGGGUAAUGGCCCACCAUGGCGAAGAUCGAUAGCCGGCCUGAGAGGGCUCACGGCCACACUGGCACUGAAACACGGGCCAGACUCCUACGGGAGGCAGCAGUGGGGAAUCUUGCACAAUGGAGGAAACUCUGAUGCAGCGACGCCGCGUGAGUGAUGAAGCCCUUCGGGGUGUAAAGCUCUUUCGACGGGAACGAUAAUGACGGUACCCGAAGAAGAAGCUGCGGCUAACUACGUGCCAGCAGCCGCGGUAAUACGUAGGCAGCAAGCGUUGUUCGGAAUUACUGGGCGUAAAGAGUGUGUAGGCGGUGCUCUAAGUCUGUCGUGAAAUCUCCCGGCUUAACUGGGAGGGUGCGGCGGAUACUAUUGUGCUAGAGGGUGGGAGAGGUAAGCGGAAUUCCUGGUGUAGCGGUGAAAUGCGUAGAUAUCAGGAGGAACACCUGCGGUGUAGACAGCUUACUGGACCACUUCUGACGCUGAGACACGAAAGCGUGGGUAGCAAACAGGAUUAGAUACCCUAGUAGUCC